UCCAAAAUUUAAAUGGAAAAAUCGAAUAAAAAAUAAAGUUCCUCUAAGUUUAAAAAUCUUUGUUUCCGCUAGCCGUUGCUCUUUUGUUUGGAGUUAUUUUUUCCGUUUAGCCAUUGAAAAUGUCAUGAGGCCAAUAAUUGUCUGCUACUAGCACACUCUUGAAUUAGUGAUACUACUUCUGGAAGAACUUAAAGGAUAAAACUAAGCUGUUACGUUUACGUAUUAAAGUGUAUCAAAUCUUGCAACUGGAAUUAGGCAUUUCGGUAAUAAAAUUAUCAAAUAAACUUUUCUACUGUUCCAUGAAUCUGGAUUCCGUUGAUUUUGAAGUUUUUUUUGUUUGAUUUGAUUGGACUGGCUGUGUCACCAAAAUAAAGAAAUCACUUGCUUAA
Molecule: long non-coding RNA, 389 nt
Organism: Daphnia magna
Lineage: Eukaryota; Metazoa; Arthropoda; Branchiopoda; Diplostraca; Daphniidae
Exons: 2
Source: RefSeq, a predicted model, not a curated record